This is a long non-coding RNA of Oxyura jamaicensis (ruddy duck), 205 nucleotides long. RefSeq lists it as uncharacterized. The transcript is spliced from 3 exons. Lineage: Eukaryota; Metazoa; Chordata; Aves; Anseriformes; Anatidae. The record is from RefSeq and is a predicted model, not a curated record.
AUGGGCUUAAAGCUUUACUGCAAUGGUUAAUGCAGGCCUUAGAGAUUGAGUGGGAUUUUCACACCCCGUGGUACCCCUCCUCUUCUGGGAAGGUGGAGUGAAUGAACCAGACAUUAAAGAAGCAAUUAACUAAAUUAGUGUUAGAAACCCAACUUCCCUGGGUAAAAUGCUUACCUUUAGCACUCCUCCAGGUACAAACAGCACC